CACCACUGUACUAACCUGUCACACACUGAAGACCUAUAGGUUCACCACUGUACUAACCUGUCACACACUGAAGACCUAUAGGUUCACCACUGAAGACCUAUAGGUUCACCACUGUACUAACCUGUCACACUGAAGUCCUAUAGGUUCACCACUGUACUAACCUGUCACACACUGAAGACCUAUAGGUUCACCACUGUACUAACCUGUCACACUGAAGACCUAUAGGUUCACCACUGUACUAACCUGUCACACACUGAAGUCCUAUAGGUUCACCACUGUACUAACCUGUCACACACUGAAGGUCUAUAGGUUCACCACUGUACUAACCUGUCACACACUGAAGACCUAUAGGUUCACCACUGUACUAACCUGUCACACACUGAAGACCUAUAGGUUCACCACUGUACUAACCUGUCACACUGAAGACCUAUAGGUUCACCACUGCAGAAACAUGU
This is a long non-coding RNA of Oncorhynchus tshawytscha (Chinook salmon), 455 nucleotides long. The record is from Ensembl. Lineage: Eukaryota; Metazoa; Chordata; Actinopteri; Salmoniformes; Salmonidae.